AGCUCCAAUAGCGUAUAUUAAAGUUGUUGCAGUUAAAAAGCUCGUAGUUGGAUUUCUGGUCUGAUGCCCUGGCCCGGGUUAAUACUAAUCUGUGUGCCGGCUGUGCGUCUGCCAUCCUUCUAGAAAUCGUGUCUACUCUUCACUGAGCCGGGCACGCGAUCUAGAUCUUUUACUUUGAAAAAAUUAGAGUGUUUAAAGCAGGCUUUUGCUAUGAAUACAUUAGCAUGGAAUAAUAAUCUAGGACUUCGGUUCUAUUUUGUUGGUUUCUAGUACUGAAGUAAUGAUUGAUAGGGAUAGUUGGGGGUGCUAGUAUUGAGCGGCCAGAGGUGAAAUUCUUGGAUUCGCUCAAGACUAACUUAUGCGAAAGCAUUCACCAAGGAUGUCUUCUUUAAUCAAGAAC
This 400-nucleotide ribosomal RNA is filed under the name phytoplankton environmental sample. RNAcentral's name for it is "partial small subunit ribosomal RNA". It matches the Rfam family "Eukaryotic small subunit ribosomal RNA", at positions 587 to 984 of the family's 1831-position model. The record is from RNAcentral.